This is a long non-coding RNA of Calidris pugnax (ruff), 610 nucleotides long. RefSeq lists it as uncharacterized. Lineage: Eukaryota; Metazoa; Chordata; Aves; Charadriiformes; Scolopacidae. The record is from RefSeq and is a predicted model, not a curated record. The transcript has 3 exons.
CAACACGGUUAUAAUAUCAGCAGAAUGCUGGCAACAUCUCUCAACGUCAGUGGAGAGCUUCGAUCCAUACAUGAUGGGAAGGAAGGGAAGAGGAAACACUGACUAGAUCUUUUUCCAGCCUGUCUUUGAAACAGUUUUCUUGGAGGGAAUGACAUUUUUAAUGCCAGACAAAUGGUAUUGACCAACAGGACAAGAGAGUGAUGGAGACAUGAUGUCAGCAGAAACCAAGAUUAUGGGAGUCUACUUCUGAACAGAUUAGAGUAGCACUGGCCACCAGGGGUGUCCCAUGGCAAUAAGAAUCCUUGUUGCUGCUCAGCUGAUUCAACUGGCCACCAAGACAAAAGAAAUGGAAGGUGUCAUCAGCAUGAUGCUUGCCUCCUGAAUUUGGUUCUUGCCAAGAGAAGAUGACACUUCUGCUCCAUGAAAUGUAGUCUAAAGGUUGUUUGGGAAGCAGCAGGAAAACACCACGGGUGGAGCCAUUUCCCUUUCAGCUUUAACAAGUACACAGCAUCUCCAGAUACCUGAAGUCACCUAUUCUGAGUCAGGGGUAUGAGAAGAGAAGCACUGUAUCUUUCAUAAAAAGUGAGCAUCACCUACCUCUCAUUAAAGC